UCUAUCUGAAAGUAUAGGAAGUCUAACCUGCUCACUGAUAUAAGUUAUUAAAGAGCCGCAGUAUUAUGACUGUGCAAAGGUAGCAUAAUCAUUAGGUUUUUAAAUGGAAUCUCGUAUGAAUGGUUGGACAAAAGAAAAACUGUCUUUAUAUUAUAUUUGAAUUUAACUUUUAAGUGAGAAGGCUUGAAUACUCUAAAGGGACGAUAAGACCCUAUAAAACUUUACAUUAUAAUUAUAUUUUAUAGAAUUUUGUAAUAAAAAUUUAUUUAAUUGUUUUGUUUUGUUGGGGAGACAACAGUAAAAAUUAUAUUAACUGCUUUAGGUUUAAUCAACUAUAAGUGAGUUAAAGUUUAAUGAUCCUAAUUAUUGAUUUAAAGAUUAAGUUACUUUAGGGAUAACAGUGUAAUUUUUUUUGAGAGCCCAUAUCGAAAGAAAAGUUUGCAACCUCGAUGUUGAAUUAAAAUAUCUUUAUAAUGCAGAUGUUAUAGGAGAAGGUCUGUUCGACCUUU
This 509-nucleotide ribosomal RNA is filed under the name Vanni deepta. RNAcentral's name for it is "partial 16S ribosomal RNA". It matches the Rfam family "Bacterial large subunit ribosomal RNA", at positions 1832 to 2589 of the family's 2925-position model. Lineage: Eukaryota; Metazoa; Arthropoda; Malacostraca; Decapoda; Gecarcinucidae. The record is from RNAcentral.